CCAAAACCAAGUUUUAUUAAAAGAUCAAACAACUAGCUCAGAAUGAUUGCCUGAGAAAAUGAGGGUUACAGGGGCUUUUCUGUUCAUUACCCGAGCAAUGAUUCUUUCAUCCAGAGCGGAGGCUGUUAUGAGUGUUGGAGGGGCCUCCAGCGAACAGCCGAUCUGAGCUGCAAGAUUCUCAUCAAGCAGAUUGUCCUGGGCUCUGGAGUCAUCCAGAGAUCUAAAAGAGAAAACCCCACUCACAACACAUAGUGAAGGUGAUAGAUGGAGUCGAUUUAACAGCUGGGCCUUGGCCCGUAGAACCCCAACCAUUACUGACGGGCCCGGUCUUUUGGCCGCAGUGUCCACGCCGAAACAAAAUGUCCAAGUUGACCAGAAUACAGACACUCACCUGCUUGAAUCCUGUGGAAACGCUCAUAAGGUGUUAAUCUGACAUGUCCCAGCUGCUUUGGCUCUUGCUCCGCACGUUGAGCGAAAGAGGGUGAGGUGCCGCAUAACUGGGCGAGUGUGGUUCAUGUAUGCUGUGGCAUGGGGGACACCGGGGAGGAAGCAGAGGUGUGGAUGGCUCACUCCCGACAUCUUAAAUGGUUAUCCAAGGAGAUGGUUUCCUGACAGAGAUUCAAGAGAUGAGUGGCCACAUUACCAGAACGGUCAGGGUGAUCGGAAACCAUCUGGAAACUCUCUUCCGACUCCCCAUACAGCAAUGACCGGACCAGACCAGACCAACUGCCUCCGUCCAAGAUACGCCUUUCCAUGGAGUAAGUUGACAAGAUAAUUUACUUUGGAAACAUCUGCUGCAAGCAAGAAGGCUAUUGCUGGAAAAUCAAACUGCACUGGAGGAGAAAACAACAACACUUCUCCAGGUCACCCUAGAAGGGCUCGGGAUCACAGACACGAGCGUCUCACAGCGGAGCAGCCCCAGCCCCGCUGUUGGCAGAUUCUGGGUUAGGAAAAGCUGUGCCAGUGAUCAGGUGAGCGAAAGCUUACAAAAAAUCGAAAGUCUAAACACAAGAUUGAGUCGAGCUAAUUAGGUUUCUCAACAAACUGGCACCGAACCUGGGGAAGAGACCAGCUUUUAACUGGCAGAUGAUGAGCAGCAGCCACACAGGCAAGGCGGUGGGGAAAAAAAAGGGUCACGGCUCCGCCCAGCUUGGAAUAAUACAGACACACAUGUGGAGAUACCAAUAAGACACACAGGGGGCAGGGUAGAGACAGGGACCAAGAAGGAGCCCAAACAGAUUUACUGUGAGCAUGUGAAAACACCUUUUGGGCAUGAUGUACCUUUAGUUACUGAUGAAAAUAGAUCUAAACCACUCUGAGGAUUCAAUCAAACAGCUGUCAAUUAGGCAAUUUUGGUUGUAACAGACGUAAUAUAAAUAAAAAAGCAACUGAAUAAUAUCGG
This 1402-nucleotide long non-coding RNA is filed under the name Takifugu rubripes (torafugu). RNAcentral's name for it is "lncRNA (ENSTRUG00000033098.1)". The record is from RNAcentral. Lineage: Eukaryota; Metazoa; Chordata; Actinopteri; Tetraodontiformes; Tetraodontidae.